AUUGAACGCUGGCGGCAUGCCUUACACAUGCAAGUCGAACGGCAGCACGGGAGCAAUCCUGGUGGCGAGUGGCGAACGGGUGAGUAAUAUAUCGGAACGUGCCCGGUCGUGGGGGAUAACGUAGCGAAAGCUACGCUAAUACCGCAUACGAUCUAUGGAUGAAAGCGGGGGAUCGCAAGACCUCGCGCGAUUGGAGCGGCCGAUAUCAGAUUAGGUAGUUGGUGAGGUAAAGGCUCACCAAGCCGACGAUCUGUAGCUGGUCUGAGAGGACGACCAGCCACACUGGAACUGAGACACGGUCCAGACUCCUACGGGAGGCAGCAGUGGGAAUUUUGGACAAUGGACGCAAGUCUGAUCCAGCCAUUCCGCGUGCAGGAU
RNAcentral lists this ribosomal RNA (378 nucleotides) under uncultured bacterium. Its description in RNAcentral is "bacterial SSU rRNA". It matches the Rfam family "Bacterial small subunit ribosomal RNA", at positions 30 to 409 of the family's 1533-position model. The record is from RNAcentral.